AAUCUCCCAAGAGGAUGUACACAAAGUAAAAGAUGUUUUUUAAGGGGUUAGAAGGACAAAGUAAAAAACAAAGUUGUUUUUGUGAACACAGCUGGCCAACAUAUUACAUAACUUCAGAUAUAAGAUAAAAUGCUAAAAACAUGCUUGUCGUCUGAUGCUCUGAACAGCUUCAAUAAAUACUGCAGCUGUGAUCAUGAGGCUGCUGUUUGCCUGAGCGAGCUGCAGUCCUCUGAUCCUGUUCCCCACUUCUUGCCUCUCAUUUUGCAACACCGACACCGAGACACUCGGGGAAUCAGCGACAUUUGGCGCCCCAACAGGGACUCAGCAGCUCUCCGUGUCUCCUCUAGAAGGAGACCUCAACAAGAACAGGGACCUGAGGACUUGAAGACUCAGGGACUCAAAGACGAUCUCGCUCCCCCGAUGGUCAAACUGAGACUGACAGGGAGAGGAACACAGGUGUGAGUGCUGCGACCUUGGACUAAUCGUGCACCAGACCUUACAUGGGGUCAAAUGAAACGCUUCUGCCAUCAGUCUGAAACUAUUGUUCUUCAGCAGCAUCAACCUGUGACCGCUUCUCCAUUGUUUAUCACCAUGAUAGCUCUUCUGUCAGCUCAGUCUGCCGAAGACAACAAAUCCGUGAAGUAAAAGAGACACAAAAAACAGCUGUGUUCACAAUUUUGAUGCAUGAACUAACCAUAAACAAAAAGGGAGAAAUGUAGUGGAACUUGACAUAAGAACAUCCAUCUUGGAAGAAACAUAAGGACAUCUAAGGGCCUGGCGAGCCAGUCGUCUCAGGACAAGAAGUGCAAGCAAUUCUUGUUUGUCCCUUGUAAAUCUCCCAAGAGGAUGUACACAAAGUAAAAGAUGUUUUUUAAGGGGUUAGAAGGACAAAGUAAAAAACAAAGUUGUUUUUGUGAACACAGCUGGCCAAAAUAUUAUAUAACUUCAGAUAUAAGAUAAAAUGCUAAAAACAUGCUUGUCGUCUGAUGCUCUGAAUAGCUUCAAUAAAUAUUGCAGUUGUGAUCAUGAGGCUGCUGUUUGCCUGAGCGAGCUGCAGUCCUCUGAUCCUGCUCCCCGCAUCUUGCCUCUCUUCAUUUUGCGACAC
Molecule: long non-coding RNA, 1105 nt
Organism: Fukomys damarensis (Damara mole-rat)
Lineage: Eukaryota; Metazoa; Chordata; Mammalia; Rodentia; Bathyergidae
Exons: 3
Source: RefSeq, a predicted model, not a curated record